Antechinus flavipes (yellow-footed antechinus) is the source of this 8877-nucleotide long non-coding RNA. RefSeq lists it as uncharacterized. The transcript is spliced from 2 exons. The record is from RefSeq and is a predicted model, not a curated record. NCBI's taxonomy places the organism in Eukaryota, Metazoa, Chordata, Mammalia, Dasyuromorphia, Dasyuridae.
AAGGCAUCGUUUCAGUUAUGUUUAGAGAUCAGAAGUGCUUGGAGAGACAGUGAUCCUCCAGAAAUGGGAGUGCUUCCAGAAAGAUUAUCUCCUACCACAAGUGUCUUUCCCUCUGAAUAUUCAGAGAUUAGAAGUGCUUUAAGAAAGAAGAAGCUCCAGAAAUGGGAGUGUUCUCAGAAAGAUUAUCUCCGAUAGAAGGCAUCCUUUCAGUUAUGUUUAGAGAUCAGAAGUGCUUGGAGAGACAGUGAUCCUCCAGAAAUGGGAGUGCUUCCAGAAAGAUUAUCUCCUACCACAAGUGUCUUUCCCUCUGAAUAUUCAGAGAUUAGAAGUGCUUUAAGAAAGAAGAAGCUCCAGAAAUGGGCGUGUUCGCAGAAAGAUUAUCUCCGAUAGAAGGCAUCAUUUCAGUUAUGUUUAGAGAUCAGAAGUGCUUGGAGAGACAGUGAUCCUCCAGAAAUGGGAGUGCUUCCAGAAAGAUUAUCUCCUACCACAAGUGUCUUUCCCUCUGAAUAUUCAGAGAUUAGAAGUGCUUUAAGAAAGAAGAAGCUCCAGAAAUGGGAGUGUUCUCAGAAAGAUUAUCUCCGAUAGAAGGCAUCGUUUCAGUUAUGUUUAGAGAUCAGAAGUGCUUGGAGAGACAGUGAUCCUCCAGAAAUGGGAGUGCUUCCAGAAAGAUUAUCUCCUACCACAAGUGUCUUUCCCUCUGAAUAUUCGGAGAUUAGAAGUGCUUUAAGAAAGAAGAAGCUCCAGAAAUGGCAGUGUUCUCAGAAAGAUUAUCUCAGAUAGAAGGCAUCGUUUCAGUUAUGUUUAGAGAUCAGAAGUGCUUGGAGAGACAGUGAUCCUCCAGAAAUGGGAGUGCUUCCAGAAAGAUGAUCUCCUACCACCAGUGUCUUUCCUUCUGAAUAUUCAGAGAUUAGAAGUGCUUUAAGAAAGAAGAAGCUCCAGAAAUGGGAGUGUUCACAGAAAGAUUAUCUCCGAUAGAAGGCAUCAUUUCAGUUAUGUUUAGAGAUCAGAAGUGCUUGGAGAGACAGUGAUCCUCCAGAAAUGGGAGUGCUUCCUGAAAGAUUAUCUCCUACCACAAGUGUCUUUCCCUCUGAAUAUUCAGAGAUUAGAAGUGCUUUAAGAAAGAAGAAGCUCCAGAAAUGGGAGUGUUCACAGAAAGAUUAUCUCUGAUAGAAGGCAUCAUUUCAGUUAUGUUUAGAGAUCAGAAGUGCUUGAAGAGACAGUGAUCCUCCAGAAAUGGGAGUGCUUCCAGAAAGAUUAUCUCCUACCAUAAGUGUCUUUCCCUCUGAAUAUUCAGAGAUUAGAAGUGCUUUAAGAAAGAAGAAGCUCCAGAAAUGGGAGUGUUCGCAGAAAGAUUAUCUCUGAUAGAAGGCAUCGUUUCAGUUAUGUUUAGAGAUCAGAAGUGCUUGAAGAGACAGUGAUCCUCCAGAAAUGGGAGUGCUUCCAGAAAGAUUAUCUCUUACCACAAGUGUCUUUCCCUCUGAAUAUUCAGAGAUUAGAAGUGCUUUAAGAAAGAAGAAGCUCCAGAAAUGGGAGUGUCCGCAGAAAGAUUAUCUCCGAUAGAAGGCAUUGUUUCAGUUAUGUUUAGAGAUCAGAAGUGCUUGGAGAGACAGUGAUCCUCCAGAAAUGGGAGUGCUUCCAGAAAGAUUAUCUCCUACCACAAGUGUCUUUCCCUCUGAAUAUUCAGAGAUUAGAAGUGCUUUAAGAAAGAAGAAGCUCCAGAAAUGGGAGUGUUCUCAGAAAGAUUAUCUCGGAUAGAAGGCAUCAUUUCAGUUAUGUUUAGAGAUCAGAAGUGCUUGGAGAGACAGUGAUCCUCCAGAAAUGGGAGUGUUCUCAGAAAGAUUAUCUCCGAUAGAAGGCAUCAUUUCAGUUAUGUUUAGAGAUCAGAAGUGCUUGGAGAGACAGUGAUCCUCCAGAAAUGGGAGUGCUUCCAGAAAGAUUAUCUCCUACCACAAGUGUCUUUCCCUCUGAAUAUUCAGAGAUUAGAAGUGCUUUAAGAAAGAAGAAGCUCCAGAAAUGGGAGUGUUCUCAGAAAGAUUAUCUCCGAUAGAAGGCAUCGUUUCAGUUAUGUUUAGAGAUCAGAAGUGCUUGGAGAGACAGUGAUCCUCCAGAAAUGGGAAUGCUUCCAGAAAGAUUAUCUCCUACCACAAGUGUCUUUCCCUCUGAAUAUUCAGAGAUUAGAAGUGCUUUAAGAAAGAAGAAGCUCCAGAAAUGGGAGUGUUCACAGAAAGAUUAUCUCCGAUAGAAGGCAUCAUUUCAGUUAUGUUUAGAGAUCAGAAGUGCUUGGAGAGACAGUGAUCCUCCAGAAAUGGGAGUGCUUCCAGAAAGAUUAUCUCCUACCACAAGUGUCUUUCCCUCUGAAUAUUCAGAGAUUAGAAGUGCUUUAAGAAAGAAGAAGCUCCAGAAAUGGGAGUGUUCUCAGAAAGAUUAUCUCUGAUAGAAGGCAUCGUUUCAGUUAUGUUUAGAGAUCAGAAGUGCAUGGAGAGACAGUGAUCCUCCAGAAAUGGGAGUGCUUCCAGAAAGAUUAUCUCCUAUCACAAGUGUCUUUCCCUCUGAAUAUUCAGAGAUUAGAAGUGCUUUAAGAAAGAAGAAGCUCCAGAAAUGGGAGUGUUCACAGAAAGAUUAUCUCCAAUAGAAGGCAUCGUUUCAGUUAUGUUUAGAGAUUAGAAGUGCUUGAAGAGACAAUGAUCCUCAAGAAAUGGGAGUGCUUCCAGAAAGAUUAUCUCCUACCACAAGUGUCUUUCCCUCUGAAUAUUCAGAGAUUAGAAGUGCUUUAAGAAAGAAGAAGCUCCAGAAAUGGGAGUGUUCGCAGAAAGAUUAUCUCAGAUAGAAGGCAUUGUUUCAGUUAUGUUUAGAGAUCAGAAGUGCUUGGAGAGACAGUGAUCCUCCAGAAAUGGGAGUGCUUCCAGAAAGAUUAUCUCCUACCACAAGUGUCUUUCCCUCUGAAUAUUCAGAGAUUAGAAGUGCUUUAAGAAAGAAGAAGCUCCAGAAAUGGGAGUGUUCUCAGAAAGAUUAUCUCCGAUAGAAGGCAUCAUUUCAGUUAUGUUUAGAGAUCAGAAGUGCUUGGAGAGACAGUGAUCCUCCAGAAAUGGGAGUGUUCUCAGAAAGAUUAUCUCCGAUAGAAGGCAUCAUUUCAGUUAUGUUUAGAGAUCAGAAGUGCUUGGAGAGACAGUGAUCCUCCAGAAAUGGGAGUGCUUCCAGAAAGAUUAUCUCCUACCACAAGUGUCUUUCCCUCUGAAUAUUCAGAGAUUAGAAGUGCUUUAAGAAAGAAGAAGAUCCAGAAAUGGGAGUGUUCUCAGAAAGAUUAUCUCCGAUAGAAGGCAUCGUUUCAGUUAUGUUUAGAGAUCAGAAGUGCUUGGAGAGACAGUGAUCCUCCAGAAAUGGGAGUGCUUCCAGAAAGAUUAUCUCCUACCACAAGUGUCUUUCCCUCUGAAUAUUCAGAGAUUAGAAGUGCUUUAAGAAAGAAGAAGCUCCAGAAAUGGGAGUGUUCUCAGAAAGAUUAUCUCCGAUAGAAGGCAUCGUUUCAGUUAUGUUUAGAGAUCAGAAGUGCUUGGAGAGACAGUGAUCCUCCAGAAAUGGGAGUGCUUCCAGAAAGAUUAUCUCCUACCACAAGUGUCUUUCCCUCUGAAUAUUCAGAGAUUAGAAGUGCUUUAAUAAAGAAGAAGCUCCAGAAAUGGGAGUGUUCUCAGAAAGAUUAUCUCCGAUAGAAGGCAUCAUUUCAGUUAUGUUUAGAGAUCAGAAGUGCUUGGAGAGACAGUGAUCCUCCAGAAAUGGGAGUGCUUCCAGAAAGAUUAUCUCCUACCACAAGUGUCUUUCCCUCUGAAUAUUCAGAGAUUAGAAGUGCUUUAAGAAAGAAGAAGCUCCAGAAAUGGGAGUGUUCUCAGAAAGAUUAUCUCUGAUAGAAGGCAUCGUUUCAGUUAUGUUUAGAGAUCAGAAGUGCAUGGAGAGACAGUGAUCCUCCAGAAAUGGGAGUGCUUCCAGAAAGAUUAUCUCCUAUCACAAGUGUCUUUCCCUCUGAAUAUUCAGAGAUUAGAAGUGCUUUAAGAAAGAAGAAGCUCCAGAAAUGGGAGUGUUCACAGAAAGAUUAUCUCCAAUAGAAGGCAUCGUUUCAGUUAUGUUUAGAGAUCAGAAGUGCUUGAAGAGACAGUGAUCCUCCAGAAAUGGGAGUGCUUCCAGAAAGAUUAUCUCCUACCACAAGUGUCUUUCCCUCUGAAUAUUCAGAGAUUAGAAGUGCUUUAAGAAAGAAGAAGCUCCAGAAAUGGGAGUGUUCGCAGAAAGAUUAUCUCAGAUAGAAGGCAUUGUUUCAGUUAUGUUUAGAGAUCAGAAGUGCUUGGAGAGACAGUGAUCCGCCAGAAAUGGGAGUGCUUCCAGAAAGAUUAUCUCCUACCACAAGUGUCUUUCCCUCUGAAUAUUCAGAGAUUAGAAGUGCUUUAAGAAAGAAGAAGCUCCAGAAAUGGGAGUGUUCUCAGAAAGAUUAUCUCCGAUAGAAGGCAUCAUUUCAGUUAUGUUUAGAGAUCAGAAGUGCUUGGAGAGACAGUGAUCCUCGAGAAAUGGGAGUGUUCUCAGAAAGAUUAUCUCCGAUAGAAGGCAUCAUUUCAGUUAUGUUUAGAGAUCAGAAGUGCUUGGAGAGACAGUGAUCCUCCAGAAAUGGGAGUGCUUCCAGAAAGAUUAUCUCCUACCACAAGUGUCUUUCCCUCUGAAUAUUCAGAGAUUAGAAGUGCUUUAAGAAAGAAGAAGCUCCAGAAAUGGGAGUGUUCUCAGAAAGAUUAUCUCCGAUAGAAGGCAUCGUUUCAGUUAUGUUUAGAGAUCAGAAGUGCUUGGAGAGACAGUGAUCCUCCAGAAAUGGGAGUGCUUCCAGAAAGAUUAUCUCCUACCACAAGUGUCUUUCCCUCUGAAUAUUCAGAGAUUAGAAGUGCUUUAAGAAGAAGAAGCUCCAGAAAUGGGAGUGUUCUCAGAAAGAUUAUCUCCGAUAGAAGGCAUCGUUUCAGUUAUGUUUAGAGAUCAGAAGUGCUUGGAGAGACAGUGAUCCUCCAGAAAUGGGAGUGCUUCCAGAAAGAUUAUCUCCUACCACAAGUGUCUUUCCCUCUGAAUAUUCAGAGAUUAGAAGUGCUUUAAGAAAGAAGAAGCUCCAGAAAUGGGAGUGUUCGCAGAAAGAUUAUCUCCGAUAGAAGGCAUCAUUUCACUUAUGUUUAGAGAUCAGAAGUGCUUGAAGAGACAGUGAUCCUCCAGAAAUGGGAGUGCUUCCAGAAAGAUUAUCUCCUACCACAAGUGUCUUUCUCUCUGAAUAUUCAGAGAUUAGAAGUGCUUUAAGAAAGAAGAAGCUCCAGAAAUGGGAGUGUUCACAGAAAGAUUAUCUCCGAUAGAAGGCAUCGUUUCAGUUAUGUUUAGAGAUCAGAAGUGCUUGGAGAGACAGUGAUCCUCCAGAAAUGGGAGUGCUUCCAGAAAGAUUAUCUCCUACCACAAGUGUCUUUUCCUCUGAAUAUUCAGAGAUUAGAAGUGCUUUAAGAAAGAAGAAGCUCCAGAAAUGGGAGUGUUCACAGAAAGAUUAUCUCUGAUAGAAGGCAUCAUUUCAGUUAUGUUUAGAGAUCAGAAGUGCUUGAAGAGACAGUGAUCCUCCAGAAAUGGGAGUGCUUCCAGAAAGAUUAUCUCCUACCACAAGUGUCUUUCCCUCUGAAUAUUCAGAGAUUAGAAGUGCUUUAAGAAAGAAGAAGCUCCAGAAAUGGGAGUGUUCGCAGAAAGAUUAUCUCCGAUAGAAGGCAUCGUUUCAGUUAUGUUUAGAGAUCAGAAGUGCUUGGAGAGACAGUGAUCCUCCAGAAAUGGAGUGCUUCCAGAAAGAUUAUCUCCUACCACAAGUGUCUUUCCCUCUGAAUAUUCAGAGAUUAGAAGUGCUUUAAGAAAGAAGAAGCUCCAGAAAUGGGAGUGUUCUCAGAAAGAUUAUCUCCGAUAGAAGGCAUCAUUUCAGUUAUGUUUAGAGAUCAGAAGUGCUUGGAGAGACAGUGAUCCUCGAGAAAUGGGAGUGCUUCCAGAAAGAUUAUCUCCUACCACAAGUGUCUUUCCCUCUGAAUAUUCAGAGAUUAGAAGUGCUUUAAGAAAGAAGAAGCUCCAGAAAUGGGAGUGUUCGCAGAAAGAUUAUCUCCAAUAGAAGGCAUCGUUUCAGUUAUGUUUAGAGAUCAGAAGUGCUUGAAGAGACUGUGAUCCUCCAGAAAUGGGAGUGCUUCCAGAAAGAUUAUCUCCUACCACAAGUGUCUUUCCCUCUGAAUAUUCAGAGAUUAGAAGUGCUUUAAGAAAGAAGAAGCUCCAGAAAUGGGAGUGUUCUCAGAAAGAUUAUCUCCGAUAGAAGGCAUCAUUUCAGUUAUGUUUAGAGAUCAGAAGUGCUUGAAGAGACAGUGAUCCUCCAGAAAUGGGAGUGCUUCCAGAAAGAUUAUCUCCUACCACAAGUGUCUUUCCCUCUGAAUAUUCAGAGAUUAGAAGUGCUUUAAGAAAGAAGAAGCUCCAGAAAUGGGAGUGUUCACAGAAAGAUUAUCUCCGAUAGAAGGCAUCGUUUCAGUUAUGUUUAGAGAUCAGAAGUGCUUGGAGAGACAGUGAUCCUCCAGAAAUGGGAGUGCUUCCAGAAAGAUUAUCUCCUACCACAAGUGUCUUUCCCUCUGAAUAUUCAGAGAUUAGAAGUGCUUUAGGAAAGAAGAAGCUCCAGAAAUGGGAGUGUUCACAGAAAGAUUAUCUCUGAUAGAAGGCAUCAUUUCAGUUAUGUUUAGAGAUCAGAAGUGCUUGAAGAGACAGUGAUCCUCCAGAAAUGGGAGUGCUUCCAGAAAGAUUAUCUCCUACCACAAGUGUCUUUCCCUCUGAAUAUUCAGAGAUUAGAAGUGCUUUAAGAAAGAAGAAGCUCCAGAAAUGGGAGUGUUCGCAGAAAGAUUAUCUCCGAUAGAAGGCAUCGUUUCAGUUAUGUUUAGAGAUCAGAAGUGCUUGGAGAGACAGUGAUCCUCCAGAAAUGGGAGUGCUUCCAGAAAGAUUAUCUCCUACCACAAGUGUCUUUCCCUCUGAAUAUUCAGAGAUUAGAAGUGCUUUAAGAAAGAAGAAGCUCCAGAAAUGGGAGUGUUCUCAGAAAGAUUAUCUCCGAUAGAAGGCAUCCUUUCAGUUAUGUUUAGAGAUCAGAAGUGCUUGGAGAGACAGUGAUCCUCCAGAAAUGGGAGUGCUUCCAGAAAGAUUAUCUCCUACCACAAGUGUCUUUCCCUCUGAAUAUUCAGAGAUUAGAAGUGCUUUAAGAAAGAAGAAGCUCCAGAAAUGGGAGUGUUCUCAGAAAGAUUAUCUCCGAUAGAAGGCAUCAUUUCAGUUAUGUUUAGAGAUCAGAAGUGCUUGGAGAGACAGUGAUCCUCCAGAAAUGGGAGUGCUUCCAGAAAGAUUAUCUCCUACCACAAGUGUCUUUCCCUCUGAAUAUUCAGAGAUUAGAAGUGCUUUAAGAAAGAAGAAGCUCCAGAAAUGGGAGUGUUCUCAGAAAGAUUAUCUUCGAUAGAAGGCAUCAUUUCAGUUAUGUUUAGAGAUCAGAAGUGCUUGGAGAGAUAGUGAUCCUCCAGAAAUGGGAGUGCUUCCAGAAAGAUUAUCUCCUACCACAAGUGUCUUUUCCUCUGAAUAUUCAGAGAUUAGAAGUGCUUUAAGAAAGAAGAAGCUCCAGAAAUGGGAGUGUUUGCAGAAAAAUUAUCUCUGAUAGAAUGCAUUGUUUUAUUGCUUUUCACCUCCCUUCCUGAGAAGUCGGGGAGCGUGAUCAUCUCCUUUUUGGUGUUUUCACUUCCUUUCCUGAGAAGUCAGAGAGAGUGUGAUCACCUCAUUUUGGGGUACUCCCCUCACUGAGAAGUCAGGGAUGGCGUGACCACCUGUGAUCUAAAAGAAAAGAAAGCGGGAGUUGUAGAGGGCUGAAACUCUUGAGUCAAUGCAUUGAGUCAGGACAGCCGAGCACUUGAGGCUAAUUACCAAUUGGACAAUAUUCUAUGGGCAUGGUCCUUACCACUAUCGCGUGCUGGCUGGAUGAUUGGUGUAUACAGAGAAUUGUAGGAGGGACUGGGGGUGGAGUAAGACGAGCAAGAGUCACUUUGGCUGUAGACAAGGAAAAAGGAAGGUUGCAGAGACCCUGCUUCCAAUCCCUUCACUUGUACCCCUAAAGAUUAAGAAUAAAGACUAAGGACUUUUGCUUAUCCUGACUCUGGCUGAUUCUAAGGGUGGUAACGCAGUUAUCACAAUAAUCUUUAACAAUACACACAGUGUAGGAAAACCUUCUUUUAGAUGAAAGAACUUGUUGAUCCCAGAGAAUUUACACCAAGAGAAACCUUAUACAUGCACACAGAUUGUGGGAAGGCCUUAUUUGAGAAAACAAACAAACAAAAAACUUCUGCAACACCAAUGGAUUCAUAGUGGAGAAAAACCUUAUAUAUAGGUAGAAUGUAGAAUGUCCUUCCUCUGAAAAACGCAUCUUCUUGUACAUCACAGAGUUCAUACUGGAGAGAAACCUCAUCAGGUUAGUGAAUGUGGAAUGGCUUUCUGCUUGAACACAGCUCUUAAACUGUACAUCAAAGAGUUCACAUGAGAGAAAAACAUUAUGAAUUAAUCAGGGAAAUCCUCCAUCUGGAGGACCCAUCUUAAUACAGAGAGUUCACGAUGGAGAGGAGCUUUAUUUAUAAAUGUGAAAAGUCACUUCACAGGAGCCCACAUGUUACCAAACACCAGAAAAUUCCCGCAAUAGUUUUACAAAUAAUAGGGUGGGGAAAGUUUUCCCUUAGGAGUAUAGUUUUCAUGUUUAUACUAAAUCAUAUUGGAGAGAAAUCUUUUGAAUGUGUAAUGAAUGUGGGAAUUUGACAUCUUCUAAUACUAAUAAAAUCUUCUGAAGAUCAUGAA